GACGAACGCUGGCGGCGUGCUUCAUACAUGCAAGUCGAACGAGAAUCUCUAGCUUGCUAGAGAGGAAAGUGGCGGACGGGUGAGUAAUAUAUAGGAAAUCUGCCCUUAGGUGGGGGACAACAGUUGGAAACGACUGCUAAUACCGCAUAUGAGCUACACUGAAAUGUGUAUCUUGAAAACUCUGGUGCCUAAGGAUGAGCCUGUAGCUGAUUAGCUAGUUGGUGGUGUAAUGGACUACCAAGGCGACGAUCAGUAGCUGGUUUGAGAGGAUGAUCAGCCACAAUGGGACUGAGACACGGCCCAUACUCCUACGGGAGGCAGCAGUAGGGAAUAUUGGGCAAUGGGGGAAACCCUGACCCAGCAACGCCGCGUGAAGGAAGAAGGCCUUCGGGUUGUAACGUUACUUUAGUCAGGACGAAGGACGUGACGGUACCUGCAGAAAAGACAACGGCUAACUACGUG
Molecule: ribosomal RNA, 462 nt
Filed under: uncultured bacterium
Lineage: Bacteria
Description: bacterial SSU rRNA
Rfam family: Bacterial small subunit ribosomal RNA
Source: RNAcentral